RNAcentral lists this transfer RNA (90 nucleotides) under Actinoplanes cyaneus. RNAcentral's name for it is "tRNA-Ser". The record is from RNAcentral. Lineage: Bacteria; Bacillati; Actinomycetota; Actinomycetes; Micromonosporales; Micromonosporaceae.
GUCUGCGUGGUGAAGGCACGCGCCGACCUCGACGAUCGGCUGGCGCCGAUGGCCGGGCUGGUCGCCGCGUUCAUCUUCGCGGUGCAGAUG